Molecule: long non-coding RNA, 1201 nt
Filed under: Gopherus agassizii (Agassiz's desert tortoise)
Lineage: Eukaryota; Metazoa; Chordata; Testudines; Testudinidae
Description: lncRNA (ENSGAGG00000012642.1)
Source: RNAcentral
ACCAGACAGGGGGAAGAACAGGAACAAAAUUGUCCUCCUCCUGGUGCGGCUCUGGGGCAUAUGGUGGGUGAUUUUUACAAGAGCUCUCCAUACAAAGAGCUUCAGAAGCUACCCGUUGGCUGACAAAACAGGAGUAAUUGAAGGAUCGUGUUAUAAUUAAGUGAUCCUUCCGGUGGCCACCUUUCCUAGUCCCCUAGUUGAUAUUGAGGCCAGUCUACUGUACAGAACUUUUUCAGUUUAUUCUUCUUCAUCGGAUCCGAGCCAAACACCUUCCAAUUCGUUAGAAUGCAUUCUAAGGGUGUACGCUAUACCUGCCGCCCCAUACCAUGCCCUUGACCCAUUAUAUGCUAAUACACCAGUAGCUAAUGGGAAUUACAACGACUGGGCGUCCCUAGCCUCGGGCAAAAGUCCAGACUACUGGACUGUUCCUACCUUAUCCAAGGGACUGGUUCCUCACCGUCGCCCACAACUGCUUCUCCACUACUCGAGCGCGUUGCACCGUUGUGCCCUCCGGGGUCGGUCGAACUGCGUUUCUGCUGAGGCCCCCGGUGAAGUCACCGGUGCACGCUGGGCGUCAGUCGGCGCAAUUCGUCGACCACCAGGAGGGAUCCAGGCAAGGCUAAUUUUCAGCCUCGAGCCCCAUGUUGGGCGCCAAGAACUGUUGCCGGCACAGAGUGCCCAAGGGGGGCAACAGCGGGGUUCAUUGCCCGAUGUGCUCCGCGCCAUAAACACACCAGGUUGGAGAAGCAAACAAAGUUUAUUUGAGAUCUCAAAGCGGUGCAAGGAGAAUGGUAUGUCUCAGAUCAAGCACACCUACACAAGCAGCUUUUCCCUUUUGAAAAGUUAUUUUUUCCCUUCUUCCCCCCCUGCUUCCUCCCCCUAUAGCAGUUACGUAAGCAGUCUUGGCGGCAGUAGCUCAUUUGUAAGUUUUCCUUCUGCAAGUUAUCUUGUCCUUCAGCUAGAGGCACGGAGGCCUUAUCACUACUGCUUUAGACUGGUUUGGGCUGUGCUGCAACUGUUACAUAUUUGAUUUUGCAGCUGCUGGCUUUCUAGGUCGAGUAAAGUUCAACACGGAGGACCUUUGGUUCGCUUUGGCUUAGAACAGAAGGGCUUCAUCGACACUCGUGGCCUUCCACCCACCUGAGUUACCUAGGGUUAUGUCUAGUGACACCAACAGAGUCAGAAUAGAAAAAAAUCCCCU